This 375-nucleotide ribosomal RNA is filed under the name uncultured bacterium. Its description in RNAcentral is "partial 16S ribosomal RNA". It matches the Rfam family "Bacterial small subunit ribosomal RNA", at positions 28 to 413 of the family's 1533-position model. The record is from RNAcentral.
GACGAACGCUGGCGGCGUGCUUAACACAUGCAAGUCACGGGGGCUCGCAAGGGCAACCGGCGAACGGGUGCGUAACACGUGAGCAACCUGCCGAUCUGAGGGGGAUAGCCGGCCCAACGGCCGGGUAAUACCGCAUACGCUUGUGUGGCCUCAUGGCUAGACAAGGAAACCUCCGGGGCAGAUCGAGGGGCUCGCGGCCUAUCAGCUAGUUGGCGGUGUAAUGGACCACCAAGGCGACGACGGGUAGCUGGUCUGAGAGGAUGGACAGCCACACUGGGACUGAGAUACGGCCCAGACUCCUACGGGAGGCAGCAGCAAGGUAAUUUUCGUCAAUGGGGGAAACCCUGAACGAGCAACGCCGCGUGGGCGAAAGAA